UACGUAGGGUGCGAGCGUUAAUCGGAAUUACUGGGCGUAAAGGGAGCGUAGGCGGACAUUUAAGUCAGGGGUGACAUCCCGAGGCUCAACCUCGGAACUGCCUUUGAUACUGGAUGUCUUGAGUGUGAGAGAGGUGAGUGGAACUCCGAGUGUAGAGGUGAAAUUCGUAGAUAUUCGGAAGAACACCAGUGGCGAAGGCGACUCACUGGCUCAUUACUGACGCUCAUGCACGAAAGCGUGGGGAGCAAACAGG
This 253-nucleotide ribosomal RNA is filed under the name uncultured bacterium. Its description in RNAcentral is "partial 16S ribosomal RNA". It matches the Rfam family "Bacterial small subunit ribosomal RNA", at positions 524 to 776 of the family's 1533-position model. The record is from RNAcentral.